GACGAACGCUGGCGGCGUGCUUAACACAUGCAAGUCGAACGAAAAUACCAAGCUUGCUUGGUUUAUUCGUGGCGAACGGGUGUGUAACACGUGAGUAUCCUGCCCCUUACUUUCCUGGAUAACUUCUCGAAAGGGUAGCUAAUACGGGAUAUUCUGACCAGCCUGCAUGGGUUGGUUUGGAAAGGUUGUUUUUCUGGUAAGGGCUGGGCUCGCGGCAUAUCAGCUUGUUGGUGGGGUGAUGGCCUACCAAGGCUUUGACGGGUAGCCGGCCUGAGAGUGUGGACGGUCACACGGGGACUGAGAUACGGCCCAGAGACCUACGGGAGGCAGCAGUGGGGAAGAUUGCAGAAUGGGCGAAAGCCUGAUGCAGCGACGCCGCGUGAGGGAUGAAGGCGUUCGGGUUGUAAACCUCUGUCGUCAGGGAACAAGGCACUGCUGUUUUGGUGGUGUUGAGGGUACCUGGAUAAGAAGCGCCGGCUAACUACGUG
This 488-nucleotide ribosomal RNA is filed under the name uncultured bacterium. RNAcentral's name for it is "partial 16S ribosomal RNA". It matches the Rfam family "Bacterial small subunit ribosomal RNA", at positions 28 to 507 of the family's 1533-position model. The record is from RNAcentral.